UAAAUUUUGGGGUAUUACAAUUAGGUAAUAUUCCUCUCCUGUUGGAAUCAUGGUUUUCCCCUUUUUGAUGAUUGCUUUUCCCCGACGAAGUCUUACUUUGUUAAGUCUUACCUGGUGGGUCUUUAGUUCAUUUUUAACCAUGCAUCGAUUAUUUUCGAGCUUUUCCUUUUCCCCCUUUAGAAUUUUGUAUGUCCCUAUCUGGGUACCCCCUUUGGAAUCU
RNAcentral lists this long non-coding RNA (220 nucleotides) under Lathyrus oleraceus (garden pea). RNAcentral's name for it is "Pisum sativum (pea) long non-coding RNA (PSAT_LNC015832)". Lineage: Eukaryota; Viridiplantae; Streptophyta; Magnoliopsida; Fabales; Fabaceae. The record is from RNAcentral.